GUGGGGAAUAUUGCACAAUGGGCGAAAGCCUGAUGCAGCGACGCCGCGUGAGCGAUGAAGUAUUUCGGUACGUAAAGCUCUAUCAGCAGGGAAGAUAAUGACGGUACCUGACUAAGAAGCACCGGCUAAAUACGUGCCAGCAGCCGCGGUAAUACGUAUGGUGCAAGCGUUAUCCGGAUUUACUGGGUGUAAAGGGAGCGUAGGCGGAGUGGUAAGUCAGAAGUGAAAGCCCGGGGCUCAACCCCGGGAGUGCUUUUGAAACUAGCAUGCUAGAGUGUCGGAGAGGUAAGUGGAAUUCCUAGUGUAGCGGUGAAAUGCGUAGAUAUUAGGAGGAACACCAGUGGCGAAGGCGGCUUACUGGACGAUAACUGACGCUGAGGCUCGAAAGCGUGGGGAGCAAACAGGAUUAGAUACCCGAGUAGUCC
RNAcentral lists this ribosomal RNA (425 nucleotides) under uncultured bacterium. RNAcentral's name for it is "partial 16S ribosomal RNA". It matches the Rfam family "Bacterial small subunit ribosomal RNA", at positions 354 to 796 of the family's 1533-position model. The record is from RNAcentral.